This 403-nucleotide ribosomal RNA is filed under the name uncultured bacterium. RNAcentral describes it as "bacterial SSU rRNA". It matches the Rfam family "Bacterial small subunit ribosomal RNA", at positions 29 to 461 of the family's 1533-position model. The record is from RNAcentral.
AGCGAACGCUGGCGGCAGGCCUAAUACAUGCAAGUCGAACGGAUCCUUCGGGAUUAGUGGCGGACGGGUGAGUAACACGUGGGAACGUGCCCUUUGGUUCGGAACAACUCAGGGAAACUUGAGCUAAUACCGGAUAAGCCCUUCGGGGAAAGAUUUAUCGCCAUUGGAGCGGCCCGCGUCUGAUUAGCUAGUUGGUGGGGUAAAGGCCUACCAAGGCGACGAUCAGUAGCUGGUCUGAGAGGAUGAUCAGCCACACUGGGACUGAGACACGCCCAGACUCCUACGGGAGGCAGCAGUGGGGAAUUGUUCGCAAUGGGCGCAAGCCUGACGACGCAACGCCGCGUGGAGGACGAAGAUCUUCGGGUCGUAAACUCCUGUCGAGUGGAAAGAAUAAUUCGGGGAU